GCCUGGGUAGCUCAGCUGGUUAAGUGUCUGACUUCAGCUCAGGUCACGAUCUCACAGUUCAUGGGUUUGAGCCCCAUGUCGGGCU
Molecule: transfer RNA, 85 nt
Filed under: Felis catus (domestic cat)
Lineage: Eukaryota; Metazoa; Chordata; Mammalia; Carnivora; Felidae
Also listed under: 2 other names
Rfam family: tRNA
About the family: Transfer RNA (tRNA) molecules are approximately 80 nucleotides in length. Their secondary structure includes four short double-helical elements and three loops (D, anti-codon, and T loops).
Source: Rfam by way of RNAcentral